AAAGGCUGAGUGGGAUAUGCAUGUCCAACUUCCAAGCAAAAGAAAAGGAAAAGGAAAAAAGAAAAAGAAAAAAAUGUCAUCAAAUGUGAAACACAACACCACAUGCUUUGCUUUGUCCCAGAGCAGCCAUGGGGCAUCCAUAUAAUCCUUGUAUUUGUUUCCCUUUGGCUCCCAAUAAAAGUUGAAAGGAACAAACAGCCUGUCCUUGUUAUCCCCUUCCUCUCUCUACUCUUUCCAUCCGCAUUUCAACCAAACAAACCCUACAUUUGGAAACAACAUUUUAUUUUUAUUAUUAUAAAAUUACAAUUUCAACUUAAUUUACUAUAAUUAAACUUAAUAUAAUUUGCUCUUUUUGGUCCUCCAUUGGACCUAGCUAUCUAGCUAAUAGCUACCUCUCUUCUAGCUAAUAAACUUAUUAUUUAUGCAUCUAUCUACUUUAUGUACUUUAGCUCUUUGUGGCAUCUGCUAGUUUAUUAUUGCUUCUUAUGUAUGGAAUCCCUGUCAGGAAAUGAAUGGCUGCAAAUUCCGUACCAGUUUUCUUCUGCUCAACAUUGUCUGUAAGUGCUCUUCUAUCUCUUUCUUCUGAUUCUUCAUUUAUUUAUUAUUUCUAGUUACUUGCUUCUAAUCUUUUUGUUUCUAUCUCUGCAACUGUGUUGGUGCUUUCAUGAGUAUUCCUCCAACACAAAAAGAGGGGAAAUGCAAAAAGCUUUCUUUCUAAUAUGGUUUAAUUUCUUUUUCUUUUCUUGGUUAUUUCCCCCUUAAUUAAGAAAUAAUUGCGUUUUCAGAUUGCUGCUUUUUGCGGGUUNNNN
Molecule: long non-coding RNA, 809 nt
Filed under: Manihot esculenta (cassava)
Lineage: Eukaryota; Viridiplantae; Streptophyta; Magnoliopsida; Malpighiales; Euphorbiaceae
Description: long non-coding RNA (MESC_LNC008311)
Source: RNAcentral